GUCUACAGCCAUACCACCCUGAACGCGCCCAAUCUCAUCUGAUCUUGAAAGCUAAGCAGGGUCGGGCCUGGUUAAUACUUGGAUGGAAGAAU
Molecule: ribosomal RNA, 92 nt
Filed under: Ochotona princeps (American pika)
Lineage: Eukaryota; Metazoa; Chordata; Mammalia; Lagomorpha; Ochotonidae
Source: RNAcentral